GUAGCCCAAGAGAUCGGGAUAACACCUGGAAACAGAUGCUAAUACCGGAUAACAACAGAUGAUGCCUAUCAACUGUUUAAAAGAUGGUUCUGCUAUCACUCUUGGAUGGACCUGCGGUGCAUUAGCUAGUUGGUAGGGUAACGGCCUACCAAGGCGAUGAUGCAUAGCCGAGUUGAGAGACUGAUCGGCCACAUUGGGACUGAGACACGGCCCAAACUCCUACGGGAGGCAGCAGCU
Molecule: ribosomal RNA, 237 nt
Filed under: uncultured Lactobacillus sp.
Lineage: Bacteria; Bacillati; Bacillota; Bacilli; Lactobacillales; Lactobacillaceae
Description: partial 16S ribosomal RNA
Rfam family: Bacterial small subunit ribosomal RNA
Source: RNAcentral